This 74-nucleotide transfer RNA is filed under the name Alphaproteobacteria bacterium. Its description in RNAcentral is "tRNA-Cys". It matches the Rfam family "tRNA". Rfam says of the family: Transfer RNA (tRNA) molecules are approximately 80 nucleotides in length. Their secondary structure includes four short double-helical elements and three loops (D, anti-codon, and T loops). The record is from RNAcentral. Lineage: Bacteria; Pseudomonadati; Pseudomonadota; Alphaproteobacteria.
GGCACGGUGGCGGAGAGGCUACGUAGCGGUCUGCAAAACCGCGUACACCAGUUCGAGUCUGGUCCGUGCCUCCA